CUGAACCAGCCAAGUAGCGUGAAGGAUGGAGGCUCUAUGGGUCGUAAACUUCUUUUAUAUAAGAAUAAAGUGCAGUAUGUAUACUGUUUUGUAUGUAUUAUAUGAAUAAGGAUCGGCUAACUCCGUGCCAGCAGCCGCGGUAAUACGGAGGAUCCGAGCGUUAUCCGGAUUUAUUGGGUUUAAAGGGAGCGUAGGUGGACUGGUAAGUCAGUUGUGAAAGUUUGCGG
RNAcentral lists this ribosomal RNA (227 nucleotides) under uncultured bacterium. Its description in RNAcentral is "partial 16S ribosomal RNA". It matches the Rfam family "Bacterial small subunit ribosomal RNA", at positions 383 to 607 of the family's 1533-position model. The record is from RNAcentral.